RNAcentral lists this ribosomal RNA (440 nucleotides) under uncultured Duganella sp. RNAcentral describes it as "bacterial SSU rRNA". It matches the Rfam family "Bacterial small subunit ribosomal RNA", at positions 358 to 790 of the family's 1533-position model. The record is from RNAcentral. Lineage: Bacteria; Pseudomonadati; Pseudomonadota; Betaproteobacteria; Burkholderiales; Oxalobacteraceae.
GGAAUUUUGGACAAUGGGCGCAAGCCUGAUCCAGCAAUGCCGCGUGAGUGAAGAAGGCCUUCGGGUUGUAAAGCUCUUUUGUCAGGGAAGAAACGGUGUUUUCUAAUACAGAGCGCUAAUGACGGUACCUGAAGAAUAAGCACCGGCUAACUACGUGCCAGCAGCCGCGGUAAUACGUAGGGUGCAAGCGUUAAUCGGAAUUACUGGGCGUAAAGCGUGCGCAGGCGGUUUUGUAAGACUGUCGUGAAAUCCCCGGGCUCAACCUGGGAAUGGCGAUGGUGACUGCAAGGCUAGAGUUUGGCAGAGGGGGGUAGAAUUCCACGUGUAGCAGUGAAAUGCGUAGAUAUGUGGAGGAACACCGAUGGCGAAGGCAGCCCCCUGGGUCAAAACUGACGCUCAUGCACGAAAGCGUGGGGAGCAAACAGGAUUAGAUACCCUUG